This 309-nucleotide long non-coding RNA is filed under the name Elaeis guineensis (African oil palm). RNAcentral describes it as "long non-coding RNA (EGUI_LNC034858)". The record is from RNAcentral. Lineage: Eukaryota; Viridiplantae; Streptophyta; Magnoliopsida; Arecales; Arecaceae.
AGAAGACUUUGAAAGGUUUUUAGUCAUGGUAAUUGUAAAAGAUAGAAAGCUCUCAGGUUGUGGUUCACUUCAUCCUUAAGAAGGAGAGAGUGUAGAAUUCUUGUGAAGGAUUUUCAGCAUAGCAAAAGAUUGAGAAGAUCCUUGAUCAAUUCCUGUGUGGACUAUCAUUGGUGGGCAUCCACUUGGAUGUCUAGUGGAGAUCGUACUAGUAUUAGACUAUCAUCUACUUGGAGGUAUACUUCUCACCUAGUUAUUAUUUAUAUUGUAUUUGAUUGACAUCAAUAAGAUCUAUCUGGGAUUCGAUUUCAG